RNAcentral lists this ribosomal RNA (427 nucleotides) under uncultured bacterium. Its description in RNAcentral is "bacterial SSU rRNA". It matches the Rfam family "Bacterial small subunit ribosomal RNA", at positions 355 to 774 of the family's 1533-position model. The record is from RNAcentral.
UGGGGAAUUUUGGACAAUGGGGGCAACCCUGAUCCAGCCAUCCCGCGUGUGCGAUGAAGGCCUUCGGGUUGUAAGGCACUUUUGGCAGGGAAGAAACAGCCUGGGCUAAUAUCCCGGGCGACUGACGGUACCUGCAGAAUAAGCACCGGCUAACUACGUGCCAGCAGCCGCGGUAAUACGUAGGGUGCAAGCGUUAAUCGGAAUUACUGGGCGUAAAGCGUGCGCAGGCGGUUCGGAAAGAAAGGUGUGAAAUCCCAGGGCUUAACCUUGGAACUGCACUUUUAACUACCGGGCUAGAGUACGUCAGAGGGGGGUAGAAUUCCACGUGUAGCAGUGAAAUGCGUAGAGAUGUGGAGGAAUACCGAUGGCGAAGGCAGCCCCCUGGGAUGAUACUGACGCUCAUGCACGAAAGCGUGGGGAGCAAACA